This 6488-nucleotide long non-coding RNA is filed under the name Homo sapiens (human). RNAcentral's name for it is "non-protein coding lnc-IRX3-80:52". Lineage: Eukaryota; Metazoa; Chordata; Mammalia; Primates; Hominidae. The record is from RNAcentral.
GCUGUUUAUAGGGAAUAAUUUUUCUUAAUAGAAUAGCAGCUGGUGCAACUCUAAGAACAUGUCAAAUCUAGGAAUUCUUUUUUCCUUUUUCAAUAAUGAGUGGUUUGCUUUCAUAGCACUGCUCUGAAGUGUGAUGCUGAAGGCUUAUUUCUGCAUAAAUCUGCAGUGUUUUUAUAGCUGUAGUGUACCUAAGCACCAAUUUAGCUUAGCAAAUUAACUUAGAUGCUUCAAAAUUGAAAACCAGUAUAUUCUAAUGUAGUUUGAGUUUAAGUCUUUAUUAGUAAGGAUGCACUUAACAUUUGUUCAGGAGAAGAGAAUAUAAUUUUCUCCUGCAGUUGUCAUUUACGUAAUCCAUUUUUCUAGUCUUUUCUCAGGCUAAUGAUAUUCCAUACCUUGAUACAGCUUUUAUUUGUUUAUUUGCCAUAAUAUGGAGUGAUACCUUCGAGAAAAUUAGAUAUUUGAAUCUAAUAUCCCAAAAGUAUUACUUAGUUUUCUGUGUUUCCUUAAACAGAAUCAUUUCCAUUUUCGGUGCAGGUGUUAAGUGUGAUGCUUCCAUAAUACAUUUGGAUGCUGUCAGCUAAGUUCACUUCUGAACUAAGGGGUUCCUCCAAAUGUUGGCUGAAAUUCAUCCCAAGGCUGGUCUGCAAGUGAGUGUCUGCACACAGUUUGCUUGUAUGUGGAGUCGAUCCAAAAUAGCAUCAAUGUUGGUUUUACCAAAGUAUUUAUUAUUGAUAAUAGAGGCUAAGUACAAAAUGUAGAGAAUGUCAGCUACUUGAGGCCUUUGAUUAUUAAAAAUUUUAUUAAUGCAUUAAACAAGAGUACAGUAAAUAGAUAAAUUUUAGGUUCAUGAAAUAAAACUGAAUAAUUUAUUUUUACUUACUAUUUAUCAUGGAAUUACUUUGAAUAAUUUAUUUUUAAUGGUAUAAUUGGACAGUAAAAUUUAUAAACUCAGUGCUUUUCAUAAAAAUCAAAGUGAAGUUUGUAAUAUUUUAUACAAAUAGAAUUAUUAUUUAAGAGAAAUAACCUGUUUAUGCCUAAUUACAGUUUUUAAUCAUUUCAGUUACCUAUUUCUUUUAAGAAUAAAUUUAGUGGGAAUAUCAGUUCCAGUCAUGGGUACCAAACUUUUUUAGUGACAGAGUACACACAGGUAUGUAAAACUUGUCAUUUCUCAUCAAAUAGAGGCUGCUGAAUAUAGGCAGGUAAGAAAAGCUAUGAGAAAGAAUUGUUUUGCAGAAUAUUUGUCUAGUUGUCAGAGCAAGGAACUGAAUUUAUUGACACAGAACAUUUUAUUAAGUAAAAAAAAUGGUUCUUAUAACAAAAAAAAAAGCUAAUUUUACAGAAGGCAGUAGUUAAUAUAGCCGCCAAUAAAAUAAAUGUUUCUCUGAAUACUUUCCGAGGCAUUACAGUGAUUUUUAACUAAUAUGAAGUGAUAUAUAAUAAUUUUAAAGUAACAUCCUUGAGUUUUCCUAUUAUUAAUUGCUUAUGGAAAUUGGGUUUCACGUAUGACUGAGAGCUAAAGCAUUACAGUGAGUUAGAAAACACAACACAAAUGUAAAGAAAAUGUUAGGUGGUGAGUAAUCUGAUUCCUUUUUGUUUGCCUUUAAGCUUAGUUUUUUGUUUUGUUUUACUUUGUUUUAAACCAUGUAUAAAAUUGUUGAAUUUAAAAGAUAAGAGGAUUAAGUAAUUUCUUUUUUCCUCCUAAGGAUAAAUGUAGGAAAAAUCUAAACACAUAGGCAGAUUGGUUGAGUUUUAUAUCUGUUAUCGGCCACAUUUAUUAAGAUUCAUAUUUCAUGUAUAUUAGAGGUAUUCACAUGUAUUAAAAUUCUUAUAUUCCUUCUAUAUAAAAUAGAUGUAGGGGGUUCCCACUCUUGAAAAUAUGAAGAAAAGAUGUCCUUUCAGCAAUAAUGGGUUAUGGUUGAUUAACUGAGAAGGUUGUAUUAAACGUUCUCUAGUAGAAAUGGCUAAAGAGCAUGCUUUUUGAGAAGUGUAUCAUCUAGGAAGAAAAUCAAAUGGAGUAUUGGUAAUUAAAUUGUAAUUCCAUGAAGGAAGGAAGUGGUGCAAAAGAUGAAGCUAACUAUUCCUGUUUUUCUUUUUAAGAGUCUGCAAUUCAUAAUGGAGCUACUGUACUGGCUAUUGGAAGGAGGAGAUUCUGAAGAUAAGGAGGUAAUAUUAUCUCUUUUAAAAGAAUACUUUCCUCUGUAAUCCUGAAUCUUUAUUACAUGUAAGAACUUUGUGCAGUAGACAGCAAUUUCUUUGAAUUUGGUAUAUGGAAACAAUUUUAUUUUCCUCUGCUAAGUUUUUGAGCCUGCCUCUUCUAGUGCCAUGGACUGCAUUGGUAGAGCUGAGAAAUAUCAUUUAGCCAUACUCAGCACCCUUAAAAUAGCUUCUUUCUGAGAAUUAGAUCUGUGAAGGUGUCCUGCACAGUUCUUGUAGAUGUCAUUUUAGUUUGUGGUUGACGUGCAUGCAUUUAGCAUGUUGCUUAACCGUCCUCAUUCGCCUCCCAGUUCUUUGUUGCCUUCAUUUGGGGGGAUGUGUUUUCUGCUGGAUGAUUUACUGCUAGACAUGACCAAACUCUGAGUAUAAGACUUGGUGUUUGGCAGCUGGUUCCAGUGCUCUGCUGAGAAGUAGUUGGGCCCAGCCUGGGGCAUUGUAGUGUCCUGGAGGCCGGGAGCUCCUGCACAGGGGUUCUUUUCCUGGUUCAGAGCCUUAGGUGCCUUUCCACUUUUCACGUAAUCUUUUCCUAGGUUGGCUUGCUGCUUACUUUGCAGCUGUUGCAGGGAUUCACAUGGAAUGGAGGGCUCCCUUUUAUUGUGGAUUAUUUCUUUGAUAAUUUACCCAUGUGCUUUUUCAUUUUCAAAAACCCAGUGGUGUUUAAGAAUGAAAGAUUCUUGAAGAACAAAAAUUGGGUUAAAUUUGUAUCUAUCAGAAAAGAUUCUAUCCUCUGAUGCUAUGUAGGCACAUUGAAUAUGCAGGCUAAAUUAAAAACAGAGUAAAACCUUUUUAUAAUAUGCCAAUUACUAUAUCUAAGAAUGUUUAUACAGGCUGAAAUUUUGUAAUGGUAUUUAUAUCUGUUUUCCUUUUUAAGGAAAAUAAUAUACUUUUCUAGGCAUCAAAAAUAUCUGCCCCUUUCACUAAUGCUGAUGUACCACCUUCCCCCAACCCCCAACGCUAAAUUUGACUGGCUUAAAAACAUCUGCCCCCUGAACUAUAUCUGGGGAGGAAUAUUAAUAAAACAAUGAAGGACUUCAUGGUGUCUAGUUAUAUAAUUAGGAAAUUGGUUAGAAACGUGGCUAAAACCAGUUUCUUUCAUUAAAAGAACUAGUGUACAUUUAAAAACAAAAACCUUCAGGAAAAAGACUCUUUGAUCUUUAAGUCAAAUAGUAUUUUUGGUUAACACAGCAGGAAGGGGAAAUAUACCAAUUUCAGAUUCUUUUAUUUAUGCCUAAGUAGAGGUUGUAAGCAGCUAAGGAAGUGAUUAAAAUGUAGUCUAGUAAAAAAUGGUGCUGAUUACUUGGAAAGCAGUUUACAUUUGCAAAAAAAUUCAGUAUUAUGACCUUCACCAACUUUUACACAUCAUAUACUUGGGUUAUUACUUAUGGUAUAGCUUGUGUAUGGAAUGCAAGGGUAUUUUCAAAUUGACUAGGUCUUGCUGGUCAUCUUAAAAUAUGUUACAAUAUUACAAAAUUGAAAUGUAAUAUUUUUUAAUAGAAGGAAAAUAUAAAUUUAAUAUCUGGGCAAUUGAGACCUUUAAACUUACUUUAAAAGUAUGAUCUUGAUGUAUAUGAUACUGUUUUGUCUUUGCUAUAUUAACAGAAUUAGAGGGGUGUUCUGCAAUUCAAAUACCUUAUAUAUUCCAAAUUUUAUUCUCUAUAAUGGACUUUUAAAAUAAAAGGUAUAUGUGCUUCAAGAGGGCAAAAUUUGAAUCAUGAGCUAAUUUGCUAAGCAUCAGAUUAUAGAAAAGCAUCCUUGAUUAAUUUGGAACUGUGAAAGGGGGCGGGUAAAACUGUUUUCUGCAGAAAUUUACUAGUGCAGCAACCAUUUAAAUUAAAUGUUUGUUAACAUAAUAGUGAUGGCAUUUUCUCCUCCCCCUCCUUGUGGUUUUGUCCAACUAGAUGUUACAGUGGCAGUUGCACUGACUGUUAAGUGUUUAAAUGAUGACACCAUUAUGUGAAGUGAUUUUGAAAUGAGAGAUUCCAGCCAAGAAUUACAUCUGCUCCCAUCUCCUUCAAAUCAUACUCUCUGGCAGUACAGAUUAUGAUUGAUUUGUUUGUGACAGAUUGCAGGAAACAGUCAUUGAUUUUUCAAUAUUUUACCUUAAAAUUAUUUACAGUUGUAACCAUGGGGAGGUAUUUUCAUGGGCUGUCAGCCCCUGAAAGACUAGGAUAAUAUUCCCUGCUCUCUGACAAGACAAAUUACCUGUAAUGAGUGCAGUAGCUGAAGGGUAUACUUUUAUUUUAAAAUAUGUCAAUAACCCCAGUGACUAAACGAAUAUUGAUUUAGCAUAAUGAAGCCUGAGUAACGUGAAAAUGAGCUUUUUCAAGGGGCAUGGUAAAGUCUUUCUUUUUAGCUGGUUGUAAGAAGCUUUUGAUUCUUUUCAGCCAGCUGGUAGGAAUAUAGAAUUUUAUAAGCAAACCAUCAGGAAUGAUAGUGUUGUUUCUGAUAAGCAACAUCCAAAUAUUUUGACCCUGCUUUUAGUGGUUUUUUUCAAAUCUUAUUUUGAGUCUUACUUUUAGUCAUAGAAUAGCUACUGAUUUGAUGCGGUCUUUAACUGACUUAAUAUUUUUACAAUUUCAAUAUAUUUUGCAUUGGAAUCUCCAGUAAUGAAUAUUAAAAUAUAUGUACAAUCAUUUGUAGAUGAUAUCAAUUAUAUUAAGACAUUUCAGAUGGGCUAUUGUAGUAUUUAAUGUGCCGUAUUUUAUGGUAGAAUAAUUCUCAGUCUCUGGACAUCAAGAUUGCUUUCAGUGGGAAUGAAGAUUAAUUUACUUCAGUCCUGAUUUUUUAGGCAUCAAUGCAUGUUUUCAUUUUUGUCAGACUUUUACCCUCUUUUAAUGUAAUUCUCAACUUCUUAUGGAUUUACUUCCCAAUACAUAAAAUCCUUCAAAACAAGAAUGAUAAUAAUUUUUAUACUUUUUAUAAAAAUAAAUUUAUUUUUAGUCCAUCAAGGUGUCUGAAGAUUUUAUGCCUAGGUAUCUCCAUAUCUAACUUGAUAAGGAAAAUAGGAUAAACAAUGCUGGUAAUAGCAGGAAAGUAAGUAUUUGAAUAAGAUGUCAAACUGAUAUUUCAUGUGAACCUAACUCAUUUUAUGGUAACUAAUAAUUAUCUUAUUUAAAUCAAUAGGUAAAACCUGUUUAGAAAUUAAAAAUGAGUUACGAUUUAAAGAAAAUUCAGAUGACUCAUUGUGAGUGCUAGUUCUCUUGUAGGAUGCCACUGGAAAUGUUGAAAUGAAAAAUGUAAGUAUAUCUUUUGGUGGAAAAAAGGAUAGUCUCUAGGACACAAAAUUACUGUUUUAUUUUUUUCUCAGGAGUUUGCCUAAGGGUGUGACAGAUGAUCUCUGUCACUUGUCUUAGUUGUGUCCUGCAAUAAACUGGAUGCUUUAUAAAAUACUAGACCUGUGAUUUCGUAUGCUGUAAUAUUUCAUUUCUCCAUCACCCCUCCAAAUUAUUUCUUAGUUUGGAGUAAAAUAAUAAAUGUAUUAUAGUCAACAUCUCUUGACCCCUCUUUAGUUUCAGCUAAACUAAGCAUGUGUGUUUGUGUGUUCAUUUUAUAGUUCAUGUGUAGAACUAUGUGAAUUAAAUUUAAGAAACAUGUAAAGUAGAGGAAAUAGUUUUCUGGAGAAAUUUUUCCUUUUUGGAUAUUAUGCCCUUUUCCAUUGCUUUUCUCUGCUUGAAAGCAAAAAAAAGUACCCUACCCCUGUUCUCCUUUAGGGAAAAACUAUUCCUAUAAAGUAUUUUUAAAUCGUGCAAGUCAUUGCCUAGGGUUAGCUAAAACAUUUCUUUUUAAAAAGGAGAAAAUGCCCUGGCUUUAACAUUUUCUUGUAUUUGUAUCUAUUAAGAUAAACAGUUUACUUUGAUACAGUACAUACCAAUCUACUUAAUUUUUUUUCCAGGAUUCCUUUUACUAUGUUUGGUCUGACCUUUUAUGAUAACUUAAUAUGGGAACAAAUUAGCAUAUAAUUCUAUUUUCCAUGUGACCUCAACCAGUUGCAGAAUUGUACCACUACUUUAGGGGGGGCAAUUUGACAGUUUAUGUAGACUAUAGCAUUAAUUGUUCCCAAAUGUUCAGUGCAUCCUGGCUAAUGUGUUAUUGAAGGUGUUUUCACGUAAGCAGUUAGAGGAAGCACUUCACCCCUAUUACUAAGUUAUUAAAAUGCCUCCUAAAGGUAGCAUUUUAAAUUAGUAUACAUAAUUGAUUAGUAAUUUGUCUUCUCCCAAGCAUAAAACAGCAUAGCAGAGUUAAGUGUGACCAGUGAAGUAUAAGAUAUUAGGGAU